GUCAUGUCUUUCUACUUGCCCUCUGUAUUGUCCUUGUAAUACCAGGCCUGACACCUCAUUCUUUGCAAGUGUCUCUGUGCCUUAUAUCUCAUAUUCCUACAUUACUAUAUUUUUCUUUCAUUAGCCAAGAUUUUGCUAUUUCAUCAUUUAAAAGUAAUCUGUUUUUCUAAAACCUAAAGAGGGACUGUAUUCUUUGUGCAAGGAUUCCUCUGCUUUGCAUACCCUGUACAUGACCUUGUUCUGUUUACAGUUGAUGGGAAUAUCCUCAGAAGCUCUCCCACAGCCAAUGGGACCCAGGCAGGAGGUGGACCUUGAUAUCAUCAGAUCAUUCAGUAAGCUGAAAAGUCCACUUCACUACUUCCACUCUACUGAGAAAUGCUGAGCUGAGAGCUGGAAGGAUUUUUUGGUUGUUUUCCUGACAUUAGGCUGGUGAGUAUUUACAUAUCAUCAGAAGGAUAUAUUUUAUUUUAUUUAUUUUAAUUUAAUUUAAUUUAAUUUUAUUUUAUUUUAUUUUAUUUUAUUUUAUUUUAAAUUUUGGAAGGAGUACGCCAUAAGGUAGUUGGUUAUUAAAGGUUUUACAAAUAUAAGCUAACAACCUAAAUUAUACUUGCAUAUGGCUAUAACAAUCCUAUUUUCUAUCUUCCCUGAGAUAUUUAUUUCUUUAUACUUUCUACUGCAAGAAUAACUACUUGAAGCAAAUGUGCUAUGUAGUAUUGCACUAGGGCGCUAUGGAUUUUUAAAAAGUACCUCUUUUGCGAUAUGUUAAAAAAAAUCUUGGCUGAUUACAACUUGUUAGCUUUGCUGCUGCUCCAGUUCCGUUUACAAAAAAAAAAAAAAAAAAAAAAAGGCUUUAUAUUCCCUCCCACUGAUUUUCAACUAAAACAGAACUUAGUUGCCUGCUGAUCCUGCUGGCUUUUUUAAAUGAAAAACUUAUUCUUCUUAAACUACUGGAAAAUUAUGUUUAAAAAUCAGCAUAAUUUCAUUGCCUUUUAUUUCUGUCUGUCAUGAAACUGCUAGGCUGCUUUCUGGAGCAACUCAAUAUAAUUUAAUGCAGAAAUUUAGUUAUAGUUAUAAAUAUACUGACUGAAAAAUAUUUUAAUGAUCCAGAGAUAUUAGUCACUCUAUAGUAAAAUUGUCUGUGUGCAUACACUGGAAAAAAAAAAUCAGUGUCUAUAGAUGCCUCUGUCUUCAUAACAGAUAAAUGCAUAGGACUGAGACUUGGCAGGUUCGCUAAGGAGUGACUUUUCCUAGCCAGUGUACUGGAUGUGGUUCAGCCAUUUAAAUUGCAGAGGACAUAGAAAUUAAUUCAGCGUGAUGACAUUGCAUUACUUUUGUUUUUAAGAAUUGUAAGAACCAUUCUUAGAGUCAGGAGAACAUAGAAUAAGAAACUUUACUUGAAGACUGGUAGAGAAUGACAAUAUUUCUACUUAUUGAACAACAUGGUGGGAUUGUGCAAUUUCCCAUUUCUCUUCAAUAUGGAUGAAGUACAUAGGAAGAACCAACAACGCUGAUGAGUUCAAGUCUUGCAGGGGUCAAAAUUCACGCUUUUCUGAAUAUUUAUGAAAGCUGUGUGUGUUUCAUAAAAUUUUGGUGAAUUUCCAACCAUUCUAUUUUGAUGUAUUCCUUUUGGACUGACUAUGCACCUGUCCUUUUCAGUUUUAAUACAUGUACCAAAUAAUUGGCCAUAAAAUGGGACACAAGAGUAUGAGAGGCACUUCUUAUACAGCUUGGUAGACCUCAACGUACCUUUUAGUAAGUAAUUCAGUGUGCAAGACAGGGCUUGGGCUGCAAGACCAGAAGAACCAUUAAGAUCUUACAAAAGACAGAAUAUUUCACCAAAGGAUUAUUCUGCAUCAAAACCUGCAUCUUUUUUUUUUUAUUUUUUUUUUUUUAUUUUUAUUUUUUAACAGAGGAGGAGGCAGGGGAAAUGCUGACUACACUAAUGGGAGAAUUUCAUGUGAUGGAAAAUCAGCUCCAUCUCCCAUUUUCCAAUGGUUAGUUACAUUCACUGUUCAAAUCAUGUGCCUGACUGUGGCUGAAAAGAUCAUACAUACUUGGAGAGCACAGUCUGUAUAGUUUAAAUAUAGUCAGCCAACUGACUGUCAACUGAUCCUUAAUGGAAAGAUCAAAGAAAAUUAGUAUUCUUAACUGGUAAUCUGCAUUACAGAUUACCAGUUCUAUGAGAAACCUCUUUUGGCCCCUAUGCUUUCCCUCCCCCUCUGUACUAUUAUUAUAGGGAAGGUAUCACACAGUUCUUGUUUGGCACUGUUUACUCAGUGCCCGAAUAAAAAUUAGUUGGGGAAGAAAAUGGUGUAUAUC
RNAcentral lists this long non-coding RNA (2319 nucleotides) under Anas platyrhynchos platyrhynchos (common mallard). Its description in RNAcentral is "lncRNA (ENSAPLG00000024081.1)". Lineage: Eukaryota; Metazoa; Chordata; Aves; Anseriformes; Anatidae. The record is from RNAcentral.